GGAAACAGCUGAUUGAUCAGCCUGGCUCAGGCUUGGGGCGGGGAUUGGCUGAUUGGCAGCAACGCCACGGGACAGCCAAGCUGGAAGCCUGAGGAGCCGGAGCGGGUGCUGGCUGCCGCGCGGCGGAGUGUGUUUUAUGGACCAUGUGCUGCUAUGUAUGCCUGAAGAAGUACUUGAAAUGCAAAUUUGGGGAGACUUUGCCAUAUAAAUGCUUGGCUGGAUUAAGCGCCUAAUUAGGAUGGUUUUUCAUCAAGUUGGAGUAAGCAUGCAAUCGGUACUUUGGUCUAGGAAGCCAUAUGGUUCGUCUCGAAGUAUCGUAAGGAAAAUUGGUACUAAUUUGUCUCUGAUUCAGUGUCCAAGAGUUCAGUUUCAGCUGUAGUAGGACAGGACCUUGCUGGGAACCUUCAAUUAACAGCCAUGCAACAGAAUGGAGUCCCAGCCACCCAGGAGAGGAUGCAGUGGCUUCUUUUGCUGAUGUUGGAUGGGUAGCCAAAGAAGAAGGAGAAUGUUCAGCAAGACUAAGGACAGAGGUCAGAUCAAGGCCACCCCUUCAGGAUGACCUUCUUUUCUUUGAGAAGGCCCCAAGCAGACAGAUUUCCUUACCAGACUUGUCUCAAGAAGAGCCUCAGCUGAAGACCCCAGCACUGGCAAACGAGGAAGCACUGCAGAAGAUUUGCGCUCUCGAAAAUGAACUUGCUGCUCUCAGAGCUCAGAUUGCCAAAAUUGUGACCCAGCAGGAGCAGCAAAAUCUCAUUGCAGGUGACUUAGAUUCUACCACAUCUGGUACCACACUACCACCCCCUCCGCCUCCUCCACCACCCCCGCCUCCCCCUCCACUGGGGCUCCACCAAAGUGUAUCUGCCAUUGAUCUGAUUAAAGAGCGAAGAGAGAAAAGAGCCAAUGCUGGAAAGACUUUGGUUAAGAACAAUCCAAAGAAACCUGAAAUGCCAAAUAUGCUAGAGAUCCUUAAAGAUAUGAACAGUGUAAAACUUCGGUCAGUGAAGAGGUCAGAGCAAGACGUGAAGCCCAAGCCAGUGGAUGCUACUGACCCUGCUGCCCUCAUAGCAGAGGCUCUGAAAAGGAAAUUUGCUUAUCGGUAUCGAAGUGAUAGCCAAGAUGAAGCUGAAAAAGGAGUUCCAAAGUCUGAAUCAGAGGCCACUUCAGAGAGAGUGUUGUUUGGGCCACACAUGUUGAAGCCAACAGGAAAAAUGAAGGCUUUAAUUGAAAAUGUAUCAGACUCCUAAUAGACAAUGAGCUGCGAAAGACUCCUGGCUCCCCUGUUGAUUUGUGAGGGCUAAGUUUGCUAGUAGAAAUCGACACUAUUUAGUAAAUACCUGACUUUAGUAUUCAGUGGUCUCCUUUUCAGGCUAAUUGAGGAUUAAGCAGUAAUGAAAGCACUAAGUUUGGUUUUCAUUUUGUGAGAUGGUCAGCGUUGGUGCUCUCCACAACUUACAUGUGUUCUGACAUGUUUCUAAUAUAUGGCCAGGGCGUUCAGAUUUCCAGUUUUGAAAACAAUUGUAUAGAUUUCACAACACAAAAAGGACAUUUGUGGAUGUUACUGCACAUUUUAAAUUCUUAACACUAAUUUAUCUGUGUAAAUGUUUCAUAUGCAUAUUUUUGGACAUAAACAGUUUAUGUAAAAUUAGUAAUGAAUGAUGGCAACGAGGGCACUGUUAUCUUCGUUUGUUUUCAAUGAUCAUUUAGCAUUCAAUGAUGGAACAGCUGGUAUAACAUAAGUUGUUGGCAUGAAAUAUUUGAGAUUGGAAACUUCUUGCCUUGAACAGAACUUAUAUCUUAGAUUCUCUCUCACAUUUUCUUGGAGCUGGGGUUUGAAUAGGAACCAGAUGAUGUUCACUGCUGAAAUUCCAUAAUGCUUCCCACUGAAGGGACGUUGAGAAACAGGAAAGCUGCUUUCACGCCAUUGCCAUCCAGUACUGACAGGGAAGAAAGAUGUAGUUUUCCAGUAGUGAUGAAUCAAAUUAUUGAAUUAAAUUUCUUCUUAAGUAAAAACUCAGAAUGUACCAUCUUGUUUCCUUUCAGUUGAUUAAAUGGCAUCAUAAAGAUGACUUUGCUAAGUUAAUACUUCUGGAAAUGUCAGAGUAGAGUUAAAAAAAAUUUUAAUAUAAGCCAAAAUAUUAACUUUAAUGAAACAUAGAAUUGGCAAAUGAAUUUCCUAUAAAUUGUCAUUGGUCAGAAUGCUGUUUUGUUUAGUUAUAUUACACAAUAUAAACCAUAGGUGUUAUUAGAAGUGAAGAACUGCCUUUUUCAUCGGGGGCUUUUAAGGACUUGCUGUAAAUGAUUAUUUUAAAAAUGCUUUAUAAAUCUUCAUGAUUUUUCUAUUUCUGAUACACUCAGCUAUAGUUAAUGCCAGAGUAUCCUACCCGGAGUAAAUAUUUGGAAUAUUUAAAUCUAGUAAAAGUAGAAAGUUAUACUUCCUGGGAUUAUUAGGAGAUGGGAGUAGACAUUCACUUUUAACUUCUCGAAAAUACAUGCAUUCUCCUAAAUAUUAAAAAUGACUUGGGGUAAUGACAUGGCUUGGUUAUUCUGUUUAAAUUUGUACUAUGACUUAUGUUAUACAUGUUCAUGUUCACCUCUCAUCCAUCCAUUUUAUGGGGUUUAAAAUUCUCUUUAACAAAAUUCAGAAAAUUUACCUGAAACUUAUUUUGACCUGCUAAGAAACAUAUUUUUAUAUAAGUAUUGAAUUUUGGACAGUGCCCCCAUAUAAGGAAGUUACUGUUUCAAAAUAAAGCAAACUGUUUUAUUUUCCUUGGA
Non-coding RNA from Macaca mulatta (Rhesus monkey), 2772 nucleotides. Lineage: Eukaryota; Metazoa; Chordata; Mammalia; Primates; Cercopithecidae. The record is from RefSeq and is a predicted model, not a curated record.